UACGGGGGGAGCAAGCGUUGUUCGGAUUUACUGGGCGUAAAGGGCGCGUAGGCGGCCUGUGCAAGUCAGUUGUGAAAUCUCCGAGCUUAACUCGGAACGGUCAACUGAUACUGCUCGGCUAGAGUGCGGAAGGGGCAAUCGGAAUUCUCGGUGUAGCGGUGAAAUGCGUAGAUAUCGAGAGGAACACCUGAGGUGAAGACGGGUUGCUGGGCCGACACUGACGCUGAGUGCGCGGAAGCCAGGGGAGCAAACGGG
This 255-nucleotide ribosomal RNA is filed under the name uncultured bacterium. RNAcentral's name for it is "partial 16S ribosomal RNA". It matches the Rfam family "Bacterial small subunit ribosomal RNA", at positions 524 to 776 of the family's 1533-position model. The record is from RNAcentral.